This 250-nucleotide long non-coding RNA is filed under the name Elaeis guineensis (African oil palm). RNAcentral describes it as "long non-coding RNA (EGUI_LNC062140)". The record is from RNAcentral. Lineage: Eukaryota; Viridiplantae; Streptophyta; Magnoliopsida; Arecales; Arecaceae.
AUGCAUGGAUAUGUACAUAUAGAGAAUACACAAAUAUGAAGAACUUACAAGAUGAAGAAACAAAAGGAUGAACAGUAUAUUUACAAAGUGGAGAUAGCUUGAAGGAGCUUGCUUCUCUCCGACAUGGACUCUUGAACAAACUUCAUACUUAUGCACAGGACUCUUGAACAAACAGAAUAAGAAUAAGAAGGAAGAAAGAAGAGGGUUGUACAAGACUCAAGGGAAAGAUAUAUAUAAAGGGGUACAAGAU